RNAcentral lists this transfer RNA (73 nucleotides) under Ornithorhynchus anatinus (platypus). It matches the Rfam family "tRNA". From Rfam's summary of the family: Transfer RNA (tRNA) molecules are approximately 80 nucleotides in length. Their secondary structure includes four short double-helical elements and three loops (D, anti-codon, and T loops). The record is from Rfam by way of RNAcentral. Lineage: Eukaryota; Metazoa; Chordata; Mammalia; Monotremata; Ornithorhynchidae.
AGGAGUGUGGCUUAGUGGAUAGAGCAUGGGCCUUGGAGUUCAAAGGACCUGGGUUCUAAUCCCAGUUCAGCCA